RNAcentral lists this ribosomal RNA (402 nucleotides) under uncultured bacterium. RNAcentral describes it as "bacterial SSU rRNA". It matches the Rfam family "Bacterial small subunit ribosomal RNA", at positions 356 to 774 of the family's 1533-position model. The record is from RNAcentral.
AGGGAAUAUUGCAAAAUGGGCGAAAGCCCGAUGCAGCAACGCCGCGUGGGCGAUGAAGGCCUUCGGGUCGUAAAGCCCUUUUUGAGGGGAUGAGGAAGGACAGUACCCUCAGAAUAAGCCUCGGCUAACUACGUGCCAGCAGCCGCGGUAAAACGUAGGAGGCGAGCGUUAUCCGGAUUUACUGGGCGUAAAGCGCGUGCAGGCGGAUUGGAGAGUUGGAUGUGAAAGCUCCCGGCUUAACUGGGAGAGGUCGUUCAAUACUUCCAGUCUUGAGUGCAGUAGAGGGAAGUGGAAUUCCGGGUGUAGUGGUGAAAUGCGUAGAUAUCCGGAGGAACACCAGUGGCGAAAGCGGCUCCCUGGACUGUAACUGACGCUCAGACGCGAAAGCUAGGGUAGCAAACG